RNAcentral lists this ribosomal RNA (449 nucleotides) under uncultured bacterium. RNAcentral describes it as "partial 16S ribosomal RNA". It matches the Rfam family "Bacterial small subunit ribosomal RNA", at positions 29 to 523 of the family's 1533-position model. The record is from RNAcentral.
AACGAACGCUGGCGGCAUGCCUAACACAUGCAAGUCGAACGAGACCUUCGGGUCUAGUGGCGCACGGGUGCGUAACGCGUGGGAAUCUACCCUUGGGUUCGGAAUAACAGUUAGAAAUGACUGCUAAUACCGGAUGAUGACGUAAGUCCAAAGAUUUAUCGCCCAAGGAUGAGCCCGCGUAAGAUUAGCUUGUUGGUGGGGUAAUGGCCUACCAAGGCGAUGAUCUUUAGCUGGUCUGAGAGGAUGAUCAGCCACACUGGGACUGAGACACGGCCCAGACUCCUACGGGAGGCAGCAGUGGGGAAUAUUGGACAAUGGGCGAAAGCCUGAUCCAGCAAUGCCGCGUGAGUGAUGAAGGCCUUAGGAUUGUAAAGCUCUUUUACCAGGGAUGAUAAUGACAGUACCUGGAGAAUAAGCUCCGGCUAACUCCGUGCCAGCCGCCGCAGUAA